UUCAGAAUUGAUUCCCUUAUCAGUCUAUGGGCUCUUCUUGCAGCUCUACCCAAGUUUUCUAGCAUAUUUCAUAGAGUUGGCUAUAAGUGUUAUUUGUUCACAAAAAUUUAUAAGUUCAACACUUGGUGGUUUUUCUAAAAAAAAAAUACACAAGCUAUCAUUUUGACUACCAUGGAUAAGGCCGAAUGUUUAAGAGCAAGAUCUAUCACAACGUGAAGCCGAGUUAUGAGCCAA
This 234-nucleotide long non-coding RNA is filed under the name Elaeis guineensis (African oil palm). RNAcentral's name for it is "long non-coding RNA (EGUI_LNC001134)". Lineage: Eukaryota; Viridiplantae; Streptophyta; Magnoliopsida; Arecales; Arecaceae. The record is from RNAcentral.